This 512-nucleotide ribosomal RNA is filed under the name uncultured Alphaproteobacteria bacterium. RNAcentral describes it as "partial 16S ribosomal RNA". It matches the Rfam family "Bacterial small subunit ribosomal RNA", at positions 9 to 524 of the family's 1533-position model. The record is from RNAcentral. Lineage: Bacteria; Pseudomonadati; Pseudomonadota; Alphaproteobacteria.
GAGUUUGAUCUUGGCUCAGGACGAACGCUGGCGGCGCGCCUAACACAUGCAAGUCGAGCGAGAACCGGAGCUUCGGCUCCGGGGACAGCGGCGAACGGGUGAGUAACACGUGGAUAACCUGCCCUCGGCACCGGAAUAGCCCGGGGAAACCCGGAUUAAUGCCGGAUAGCCCCACAUCCCUGCGGGGAACGUGGGAAAAGGUAGCUUCGGCCUCUGGCCGAGGAUGGGUCCGCGGUGGAUUAGCUUGUUGGUGCGGGUAAUGGCCCACCAAGGCGACGAUCCAUAGCUGGUCUGAGAGGACGAUCAGCCACACUGGGACUGGGACACGGCCCAGACUCCUACGGGAGGCAGCAGUGGGGAAUAUUGGACAAUGGGCGCAAGCCUGAUCCAGCAAUGCCGCGUGAGUGAUGAAGGCCUUAGGGUUGUAAAGCUCUUUUACCCGGGAUGAUAAUGACAGUACCGGGAGAAUAAGCCCCGGCUAACUCCGUGCCAGCAGCAGCAGCCGCAGUAAC